This 423-nucleotide ribosomal RNA is filed under the name uncultured bacterium. RNAcentral's name for it is "bacterial SSU rRNA". It matches the Rfam family "Bacterial small subunit ribosomal RNA", at positions 30 to 439 of the family's 1533-position model. The record is from RNAcentral.
AUUGAACGCUGGCGGCGUGCCUAACACAUGCAAGUUGAGCGUGAAGUUUAUAUUGAUUCUUCGGAUGAUUUAUAAAUGGAAAGCAGCGGACGGGUGAGUAACGCGUGGAUAACCUGCCCUAUACUCCAGGAUAACAUACCGAAAGGUAUGCUAAUACUGGAUAAUAUACAUUAGUCGCAUGGCUUUUGUAUCAAAGAUUACGGUAUAGGAUGGAUCCGCGUUCCAUUAGCUAGUUGGUGGGGUAAAGGCUACCAAGGCGACGAUGGAUAGCCGACCUGAGAGGGUGAUCGGCCACACUGGAACUGAGACACGGUCCAGACUCCUACGGGAGGCAGCAGUGGGGAAUAUUGCACAAUGGGCGCAAGCCUGAUGCAGCCAUGCCGCGUGUGUGAAGAAGGCCUUCGGGUUGUAAAGCUUUCGUCU